Molecule: ribosomal RNA, 36 nt
Filed under: Chenopodium opulifolium
Lineage: Eukaryota; Viridiplantae; Streptophyta; Magnoliopsida; Caryophyllales; Amaranthaceae
Source: RNAcentral
GGUGACCUCUUGGGAAGUCCACGUGUUGCACCCCUU